AAAAAAAAGGAAAGGAGAAAUCAGUACUACCUUUGACAAGGAUGUAAGAGGUCCUCAGGCCUGACAACACACAUAUGGUUAAGGCAUUGCCACUUAUUUCAGGCAUCUAUCAUUUUUAU
Molecule: small nuclear RNA, 119 nt
Organism: Ailuropoda melanoleuca (giant panda)
Lineage: Eukaryota; Metazoa; Chordata; Mammalia; Carnivora; Ursidae
Source: Ensembl